Molecule: ribosomal RNA, 465 nt
Filed under: uncultured Klebsiella sp.
Lineage: Bacteria; Pseudomonadati; Pseudomonadota; Gammaproteobacteria; Enterobacterales; Enterobacteriaceae
Description: bacterial SSU rRNA
Rfam family: Bacterial small subunit ribosomal RNA
Source: RNAcentral
CCUACGGGUGGCUGCAGUGGGGAAUAUUGCACAAUGGGCGCAAGCCUGAUGCAGCCAUGCCGCGUGUGUGAAGAAGGCCUUCGGGUUGUAAAGCACUUUCAGCGGGGAGGAAGGCGUUAAGGUUAAUAACCUUGGCGAUUGACGUUACCCGCAGAAGAAGCACCGGCUAACUCCGUGCCAGCAGCCGCGGUAAUACGGAGGGUGCAAGCGUUAAUCGGAAUAGCUGGGCGUAAAGCGCACGCAGGCGGUCUGUCAAGUCGGAUGUGAAAUCCCCGGGCUCAACCUGGGAACUGCAUUCGAAACUGGCAGGCUAGAGUCUUGUAGAGGGGGGUAGAAUUCCAGGUGUAGCGGUGAAAUGCGUAGAGAUCUGGAGGAAUACCGGUGGCGAAGGCGGCCCCCUGGACAAAGACUGACGCUCAGGUGCGAAAGCGUGGGGAGCAAACAGGAUUAGAUACCCGUGUAGUC